CAUUUUUUAUUGAAAUAUUAAUAAAUAACACCUGCUCAAUGAAAUAUUAAAUAGCCGCGGAAAUUUAACCGUGCUAAGGUAGCAUAAUCAUUUACCUUUUAAUUAAAGGCUAGUAUGAAAGGUGAAACAUUCCAAUUUCUUUAUUUAUUAAUUUUUUUUAAAUUUAACUAAGAAUAAAAAUGUUCUUAUUAUUAAAAUAGACGAUAAGACCCUAUUGAACUUAACCUAUUGUUAUGCUGGGGCAGCAUAAAAAUUAUUAUUUUUUUUUAUUUUCAUAAAAUAAAUGACCUAAUUUAAUUAAUUAUAUGAACAAGUUACCAUAGGGAUAACAGCGUAAUAUUUUUCUAAAGCUCUUAUUUAAAAAAGUGAUUACGACCUCGAUGUUGAAUUAAUGUGACUUUAAAAGUGCAACCACUAUAAAAGUAGGUCUGUUCGACCUUUAAAACAUUAC
Molecule: ribosomal RNA, 451 nt
Filed under: Guizygiella sp. D MG-2015
Lineage: Eukaryota; Metazoa; Arthropoda; Arachnida; Araneae; Tetragnathidae
Description: partial 16S ribosomal RNA
Rfam family: Bacterial large subunit ribosomal RNA
Source: RNAcentral